This 26-nucleotide non-coding RNA is filed under the name Rattus norvegicus (Norway rat). Lineage: Eukaryota; Metazoa; Chordata; Mammalia; Rodentia; Muridae. The record is from RNAcentral.
CACAAUACUGGUGGCCUCACAGAGAA